Molecule: ribosomal RNA, 465 nt
Filed under: Vreelandella stevensii
Lineage: Bacteria; Pseudomonadati; Pseudomonadota; Gammaproteobacteria; Oceanospirillales; Halomonadaceae
Description: partial 16S ribosomal RNA
Rfam family: Bacterial small subunit ribosomal RNA
Source: RNAcentral
CCUACGGGUGGCUGCAGUGGGGAAUAUUGGACAAUGGGCGAAAGCCUGAUCCAGCCAUGCCGCGUGUGUGAAGAAGGCCUUCGGGUUGUAAAGCACUUUCAGUGGGGAAGAAAGCCUUGGGGCUAAUACCCUCGAGGAAGGACAUCACCCACAGAAGAAGCACCGGCUAACUCCGUGCCAGCAGCCGCGGUAAUACGGAGGGUGCGAGCGUUAAUCGGAAUUACUGGGCGUAAAGCGCGCGUAGGCGGUCUGAUAAGCCGGUUGUGAAAGCCCCGGGCUCAACCUGGGAACGGCAUCCGGAACUGUCAGGCUAGAGUGCAGGAGAGGAAGGUAGAAUUCCCGGUGUAGCGGUGAAAUGCGUAGAGAUCGGGAGGAAUACCAGUGGCGAAGGCGGCCUUCUGGACUGACACUGACGCUGAGGUGCGAAAGCGUGGGUAGCAAACAGGGUUAGAUACCCGUGUAGUC